Molecule: ribosomal RNA, 327 nt
Filed under: uncultured bacterium
Lineage: Bacteria
Description: bacterial SSU rRNA
Rfam family: Bacterial small subunit ribosomal RNA
Source: RNAcentral
AGGGUUCGAUUAUGGCUCAGGAUGAACGCUGGCGGCGUGCUUAACACAUGCAAGUCGAACGGGAUCCCAGGAGCUUGCUCCUGGGUGAGAGUGGCGAACGGGUGAGUAAUGCGUGACCGACCUGCCCCAUGCACCGGAAUAGCUCCUGGAAACGGGUGGUAAUGCCGGAUGCUCCAUCACACUGCAUGGUGUGUUGGGAAAGCCUUUGCGGCAUGGGAUGGGGUCGCGUCCUAUCAGGUAGUCGGCGGGGUAACGGCCCACCGAGCCUACGACGGGUAGCCGGCCUGAGAGGGCGACCGGCCACAUUGGGACUGAGAUACGGCCCAG